RNAcentral lists this ribosomal RNA (256 nucleotides) under uncultured bacterium. Its description in RNAcentral is "partial 16S ribosomal RNA". It matches the Rfam family "Bacterial small subunit ribosomal RNA", at positions 98 to 354 of the family's 1533-position model. The record is from RNAcentral.
CGGGACGGGUGAGUAACGCGUGGAGAACCUGCCGUAUACUGGGGGAUAACACUUAGAAAUAGGUGCUAAUACCGCAUAAGCGCACAGCUUCGCAUGAAGCAGUGUGAAAAACUCCGGUGGUAUACGAUGGAUCCGCGUCUGAUUAGCUGGUUGGCGGGGUAACAGCCCACCAAGGCGACGAUCAGUAGCCGACCUGAGAGGGUGACCGGCCACAUUGGGACUGAGACACGGCCCAAACUCCUACGGGAGGCAGCAG